ACUGAGACACUGGCCAGACACCUACGGGUGGCUGCAGUCGAGAAUCUUCGGCAAUGGGCGCAAGCCUGACCGAGCGACGCCGCGUGCGGGAUGAAGGCCUUCGGGUUGUAAACCGCUGUCGAAGGGGAGGAAAUUGUAGUGGGUUCACCCAUUAUAUUGACCGAUCCUUGGAGGAAGGGCCGGCUAAUCUCGUGCCAGCAGCCGCGGUAAUACGAGAGGCCCAAACGUUAUUCGGAUUUACUGGGCUUAAAGAGUUCGUAGGCGGUUCGGUAAGUGAGGUGUGAAAGCCCUCGGCUCAACCGAGGAAUUGCGCUUCAAACUGCCGGGCUCGAGGGAGAUAGAGGUGAGCGGAACUGAUGGUGGAGCGGUGAAAUGCGUUGAUAUCAUCAGGAACACCAGAGGCGAAGGCGGCUCACUGGGUCUUUUCUGACGCUGAGGAACGAAAGCUAGGGGAGCAAACGGGAUUAGAUACCCCGGUAGUCCUAGCCGUAAACGAUGAGCACUGGACCGGAGGUCCGCACAGGGUUUCGGUCGUAGCGAAAGUGUUAAGUGCUCCGCCUGGGGAGUGUGGUCGCAAGGCUGA
This 583-nucleotide ribosomal RNA is filed under the name uncultured Planctomycetota bacterium. Its description in RNAcentral is "bacterial SSU rRNA". It matches the Rfam family "Bacterial small subunit ribosomal RNA", at positions 318 to 897 of the family's 1533-position model. The record is from RNAcentral. Lineage: Bacteria; Pseudomonadati; Planctomycetota.